RNAcentral lists this ribosomal RNA (2580 nucleotides) under Clostridioides difficile. RNAcentral describes it as "23S ribosomal RNA". It matches the Rfam family "Bacterial large subunit ribosomal RNA", at positions 319 to 2925 of the family's 2925-position model. The record is from RNAcentral. Lineage: Bacteria; Bacillati; Bacillota; Clostridia; Peptostreptococcales; Peptostreptococcaceae.
AGGUAUCGUAAUUGAAGAGGUUUGGAAAGACCCACCACAGAAGGUAAUAGUCCUGUAUGUUAAACGAGAAGACUUCAGAUAUGAUCCAGAGUACCACGGGACACGUGAAACCCUGUGGGAAGCAGGAGGGACCACCCUCCAAGGCUAAAUACUACCUAGUGACCGAUAGCGUAUAGUACCGUGAGGGAAAGGUGAAAAGAACCCCGGGAGGGGAGUGAAAUAGAACCUGAAACCCUGCACUUACAAGCUGUGGAAGCACAUUUCUUGUGUGACCGCGUACUUUUUGUAGAACGGGCCAACGAGUUACGUUAAGUAGCAAGGUUAAGCACUUAAGGUGCGGAGCCGUAGCGAAAGCGAGUUUUAACUGAGCGUUCAGUUACUUGACGUAGACCCGAAACCGGGCGACCUACCCAUGAGCAGGAUGAAGCGAAAGUAAAAUUUCGUGGAGGUCCGAACCCACGAGCGUUGAAAAGCUCGGGGAUGACUUGUGGGUAGCGGUGAAAUUCCAAUCGAGCCCGGAGAUAGCUGGUUCUCCCCGAAAUAGCUUUAGGGCUAGCCUCAAGGUGAGAGAUACGGAGGUAGAGCACUGAAUGUCCUAGGGGGUAUUGCACCUACCGAAGACUAUCAAACUCCGAAUGCCGUCAUCUUAUACUUGGGAGUCAGACUGUGGGUGAUAAGAUUCAUAGUCGAAAGGGCAACAGCCCAGAUCGUCAGCUAAGGUCCCUAAAUGUAAGUUAAGUGGUAAAGGAUGUGGGAUUGCACAGACAACCAGGAUGUUGGCUUAGAAGCAGCCACUCAUUCAAAGAGUGCGUAAUAGCUCACUGGUCGAGUGAUCCUGCGCCGAAGAUUUCCGGGGCUAAAACUUACUACCGAAGCUACGGCAUCAGUAAUGAUGGGUAGGGGAGCUUCCCAUACGGGUUGAAGCAUGACCGUAAGGACAUGUGGACAGUAUGGGAGUGAGAAUGUUGGCAUGAGUAGCGAGAUGUGGGUGAGAAUCCCACAGGCCGUAAACCCAAGGUUUCCAGGGGAAGGUUCGUCCGCCCUGGGUUAGUCGGGACCUAAGCUGAGGCCGAAAGGCGUAGGUGAUGGACAACAGGUUGAUAUUCCUGUACUACCGAUAACCGUUUGAGAGAAGGGAUGACACAGUAGGAUAAGCUAAGCACACUGUUGGUUAUGUGUGCCCAAGCAUUGAGGCAGUCAAAGUAGGCAAAUCCGCUUUGAUAAUGCUGGGAUGUGAUGGGGAGCGAAAUUUAGUAGCGAAGUAGCUGAUUUCACACUGUCAAGAAAAGUCUCUAUCGAGGUUAAAGGUACCCGUACCGCAAACCGACACAGGUGGGUGAGGAGAGUAUCCUAAGGCCAGCGAGAGAACUGUUGUUAAGGAACUCGGCAAAAUGACCCCGUAACUUAGGGAUAAGGGGUGCCACCAUCAGGUGGCCGCAGAGAAUAGGCCCAAGCGACUGUUUACCAAAAACAUAGGUUUCUGCUAAGUCGCAAGACGAUGUAUAGGAGCUGACGCCUGCCCGGUGCUGGAAGGUUAAGGGGAUCUGUUAGAGCAAUCGAAGCAGUGAACUUAAGCCCCAGUAAACGGCGGCCGUAACUAUAACGGUCCUAAGGUAGCGAAAUUCCUUGUCGGGUAAGUUCCGACCCGCACGAAAGGCGUAACGAUUUGGGCACUGUCUCAACAACAGACUCGGUGAAAUUGUAAUUCCGGUGAAGAUGCCGGAUACCUGCGACAGGACGGAAAGACCCCAUGGAGCUUUACUGUAGCUUGACAUUGGGUCUUGGUACUACAUGUACAGGAUAGGUGGGAGGCUUUGAAACCAGGACGCCAGUUUUGGCGGAGCCAUCCUUGGGAUACCACCCUUGUAGUACUGGGACUCUAACCAUAGGCCAUGAAUCUGGUCUUGGGACACUGUCAGGUGGGCAGUUUGACUGGGGCGGUCGCCUCCCAAAAGGUAACGGAGGCGCUCAAAGGUUCUCUCAGUACGGUCGGAAAUCGUACGUAGAGUGUAAAGGCAAAAGAGAGCUUGAUUGCAAGACAUACAGGUCGAGCAAGGAUGAAAAUCGGACUUAGUGAUCCGGUGGUUCUGCGUGGAAGGGCCAUCGCUCAACGGAUAAAAGCUACCCUGGGGAUAACAGGCUUAUCUCCCCCAAGAGUCCACAUCGACGGGGAGGUUUGGCACCUCGAUGUCGGCUCAUCACAUCCUGGGGCUGUAGUAGGUCCCAAGGGUUGGGCUGUUCGCCCAUUAAAGUGGUACGCGAGCUGGGUUCAGAACGUCGUGAGACAGUUCGGUCCCUAUCCGUCGCAGGCGUAGGAAAUUUGAGAAGACCUGUCCUUAGUACGAGAGGACCGGGAUGGACGUACCUCUGGUGUACCAGUUGUCCUGCCAAGGGCAUGGCUGGGUAGCUAUGUACGGAAUGGAUAAGCGCUGAAAGCAUCUAAGCGCGAAGCCAACUUCAAGAUAAGAUUUCCCACCGCAAGGGUAAGACCCCAGAAAGACUAUCUGGUUGAUAGGUCGAAGGUGUAAGUGCAGCAAUGUAUUUAGCUUAUCGAUACUAAUAGGUCGAGGACUUGACCAA